GCAUCCGUAGCUCAGCUGGAUAGAGUACUCGGCUACGAACCGAGCGGUCGGAGGUUCGAAUUCUCCCGGAUGCA
RNAcentral lists this transfer RNA (74 nucleotides) under Escherichia coli IS9. RNAcentral describes it as "tRNA-Arg-ACG". It matches the Rfam family "tRNA". Rfam says of the family: Transfer RNA (tRNA) molecules are approximately 80 nucleotides in length. Lineage: Bacteria; Pseudomonadati; Pseudomonadota; Gammaproteobacteria; Enterobacterales; Enterobacteriaceae. The record is from RNAcentral.